This is a long non-coding RNA of Bos taurus (domestic cattle), 806 nucleotides long. The record is from Ensembl. Lineage: Eukaryota; Metazoa; Chordata; Mammalia; Artiodactyla; Bovidae.
GGCCCUUGGGGCUGGGCUCUGUGGCUACUGAGAUGGGUCGGGAGGGGUCUCCGGCACGUCAGAGAUAUCACACCUGCUCACCGUGGCCUAUACGUUUCACGCUGCCUUCAUUCUGCCUUGUCUUCAGCCUUUCGAACACCAAGAAACUCCUUGAGGAAAUGGAGGUGGGAGGAGACCAGGUUGGGGUAAAAUAUACCAACGAACUACAAACAGCUCAUGAAUUUUCGUCAUGGCGACCUUUCGGGCCAAUCAGUGAGGAACAGGAAGUGGAUGGGAUUGGACCCAGGCUAUAUCUGAGCCACAGCUCUCCCCGCCCUCUCUCUCUGGUGCUUCUAGGAUCUGUGUGGUUUCCUACUGGAUGACGACUUCGACUAGAUUAAAUCCCACUCUCAACUUCCACUCAUGGAAGAAACUGCUGGAACCUCAGUGCCAAUUUUUUAUGAAAUUGCCAUGUGAAUUUGUUGAGUCCAGAAGGUGUGUUCUCAGUAAUGCCUCAAGGCUGUCCACCAACUGAAUUAAUACAGCAUCUCAGCACCAAGUUCAGCCUGCCAUCUCCUCCUCGUAGCAAGAUCAGCCUAGGCUGGAACCCUCAGGGAAAGCCUCCCCAGAGCACCACAGCUUAGAGGGAGGGGAAAGGAAACAUUUCUGGAAAUGAGAGUGACAGGAGCAGAGUUAGAGGGAUGUAGGUGAUGACAGGUGAUGAUGUGGUGAGGAUGGUGAGGACGACUAACGCUCAUUGAGAGUCUACCAUACUCACUCCCAGAGCUGUUUAACUCUUUCCAAGUGUAAGUUCAUUUGUCUCUGAC